UCUGGUUGAUCCUGCCGGACCUGACUGCUAUCGGAUUGGUACUAAGCCAUGCGAGUCAUUGUAGCAAUACAAGGCGGACGGCUCAGUAACACGUAGUCAACCUAACUCGUGGACGUGGAUAACCUCGGGAAACUGAGAAUAAACCACGAUAGAUCAUAGUGCCUGGAAUGGCUUAUGGUCCAAACAGUUUACUGCCAUGGGAUGGGACUGCGGCCUAUCAGCUUGUUGGUGAGGUAAUGGCCCACCAAGGCGAUUACAGGUACGGGCUCUGAGAGGAGAAGCCCGGAGAUGGGUACUGAGACACGGACCCAGGCCCUAUGGGGCGCAGCAGGCGAGAAACCUUAGCAAUGUGCGAAAGCACGACUGGGUCAGUCCGAGUGAUUCCUGAUAAAGGAGUCUUUUGCUUGUCCUAAAAGCACAGGUGAAUAAGGGGUGGGCAAGUCUGGUGUCAGCCGCCGCGGUAAUACCAGCACCUCGAGUGGUCAGGACGUUUAUUGGGCCUAAAGCAUCCGUAGCCGGCUUUGCAAGUCUUCGGUUAAAUCCACCUGCUCAACAGAUGGGCCGCUGGAGAUACUACAAAGCUAGGGAGUGGGAGAGGCAGACGGUAUUCAGUGGGUAGGGGUAAAAUCCUCUGAUCCAUUGAGGACCACCAGUGGCGAAGGCGGUCUGCCAGAACACGUUCGACGGUGAGGGAUGAAAGCUGGGGGAGCAAACCGGAUUAGAUACCCGGGUAGUCCCAGCUGUAAACGAUGCAAACUCGGUGAUGCAUUGGCUUAUGGCCAAUGCAGUGCCGCAGGGAAGCCGUUAAGUUUGCCGCCUGGGAAGUACGGACGCAAGUCUGAAACUUAAAGGAAUUGGCGGGGGAGCACCACAAGGGGUGAAGCCUGCGGUUCAUUGGACUCAACGCCCGGA
Molecule: ribosomal RNA, 912 nt
Filed under: uncultured archaeon
Lineage: Archaea
Description: bacterial SSU rRNA
Rfam family: Archaeal small subunit ribosomal RNA
Source: RNAcentral